This 501-nucleotide ribosomal RNA is filed under the name uncultured bacterium. RNAcentral describes it as "partial 16S ribosomal RNA". It matches the Rfam family "Bacterial small subunit ribosomal RNA", at positions 30 to 523 of the family's 1533-position model. The record is from RNAcentral.
AUUGAACGCUGGCGGCAGGCUUAACACAUGCAAGUCGAGCGGAGAGAGGUAGCUUGCUACUGAUCUUAGCGGCGGACGGGUGAGUGAUGCUUAGGAAUCUGCCUAUUAGUGGGGGACAACAUUUCGAAAGGAAUGCUAAUACCGCAUACGUCCUACGGGAGAAAGCAGGGGAUCUUUGGACCUUGCGCUAAUAGAUGAGCCUAAGUCGGAUUAGCUAGUUGGUGGGGUAAAGGCCUACCAAGGCGACGAUCUGUAGCGGGUCUGAGAGGAUGAUCCGCCACACUGGGACUGAGACACGGCCCAGACUCCUACGGGAGGCAGCAGUGGGGAAUAUUGGACAAUGGGCGCAAGCCUGAUCCAGCCAUGCCGCGUGUGUGAAGAAGGCCUUAUGGUUGUAAAGCACUUUAAACGAGGAGGAGGCUACUUUAGUUAAUACCUAGAGAUAGUGGACGUUACUCGCAGAAUAAGCACCGGCUAACUCUGUGCCAGCCGCCGCCGUAA